AGGAGCCUUUAUUUUCGAUAAUGACAAGAAAGAGAAUAUGUUUUCUGCGAUGCAUUGACUCCCGUCACUCAGGCAGGCUCGCGCUCUUUGGUGAGUCUUUUCCAAAGCGCUCCACUCGAGGAUGUUGGGCAUUAAGCUGAUGGGCCUGUCAUCCCGACCCAUUUGCAGUCGCUAGCCUCUCUGCCUGUUUUGCUUUCUGCUGUAAUUAGGUUGAAUUCAGACCAGAUAGAAUUACAUUAUUCUGCAUUUCGAGCUACAGUCCUUGACUCUCCAGCUCCCCCGGGAUAACCUGGCGCCUCCUGCCCAGAUCAGACGACUGUAACUGGACUGAGUCGACGGACCACUCGGGGGGAAAAAGAAAAACGCUGAGAUGCAGGCUAUUCGGGAGUAUUGAGAGACGUCAUCUUGUAUGGAGGAUGAACCGUACAGAAGCAGCAUCGCUCAAGAAGAGCAUCUUGAAUAACGUAAAUUGACAAGGCACUGGAAAAGAACCAGAAGGAAAACUAAGGAAGCACUAACCAAGCAGUGUUGUAAGCAUGACUAUGCCCCCAUGCACAAAGCGAGG
Non-coding RNA from Salmo salar (Atlantic salmon), 565 nucleotides. Lineage: Eukaryota; Metazoa; Chordata; Actinopteri; Salmoniformes; Salmonidae. The record is from RefSeq and is a predicted model, not a curated record.